Molecule: long non-coding RNA, 389 nt
Filed under: Panax ginseng (ginseng)
Lineage: Eukaryota; Viridiplantae; Streptophyta; Magnoliopsida; Apiales; Araliaceae
Description: long non-coding RNA (PGIN_LNC010875)
Source: RNAcentral
GUGGAUGGAUUUUCGAACAUGUCCUCGAUGCUUAUAUGUUGUUGCUACGAGACAGAGAGGAAUACUACAGGUCACGGGGAAUAAAAAGGUGGGCCAAAUUUGGUUUUCUGAAUUCAUUCUUCAUGCAUCUAGGACAGAGCUAUGUGCCCAUAACUAAAGAGAUUGAUACAUUAUGUUUUUGCAAUCCGUAUGUGAACCAAGAUGUUGGCCCACCAUUACACGAAUGCCAAUACAUAUUCAUGCCGGUGUGUAGUACCCAUCAAAGACAUUUUGUCUUAUUACUAUUUGCAGUUCAAGAUUGGAUGGUUACGAUAAUUGAUCCGUACUACGAUGAUACCAAACAUAUGAAGUUACAGGAAAUGUACGGAGAAUUUGUUAAAGUUGCGGUA